GGUACUUACUAGUAUUCCAGUUACUUCCAAAGGCAAACGACAGUUAUCUUUAUAUAUACUGUCAAAAAUGCGUUUCUUAUACAUUGUUAUGAUGCUUGUAUUAGUUCUAACAAAGUUGUCAGCGGGAUCUGGGACUGGGGGAAAUAUAAAUCUGGGAUCUGGAUCUGGGUCUGGGUCUGGGUCUGGGUCUGGAUCUAAGACUA
Long non-coding RNA from Adelges cooleyi (spruce gall adelgid), 203 nucleotides. RefSeq lists it as uncharacterized. NCBI's taxonomy places the organism in Eukaryota, Metazoa, Arthropoda, Insecta, Hemiptera, Adelgidae. The record is from RefSeq and is a predicted model, not a curated record. The transcript has 3 exons.